AGCACCAAGCAGAGUACAGAACACAUAGUAGGCUCCCUUCAUUGAAAUAAAGAAGACAGGGACCAUUUUUGAGAAAAAGGAGAAGAUGGCAAGGAAAAACUCUCUCUUUCCCCUAGGAGCUCUGAAGAAGAAAGGGCAUGGAGAGAGGAAGGUAGGUAGUCCUACGUGCAUGUGUCAGACUCUGAAUAGAGAGCCACAGAGCCUUGCAGGAGGCUCGGGUAGCCCACAGGCUGUGUGGUAGAUGGCCUGGUACAGGAGCCCUUUGGAGGACUUAAGAGGGACUCAGAGUGAUCUGCAGAAGCAGGGAGAGUCGAAAGGAGGCCAGUCAACAGGGAGAGGCCCCUGGACAGGAUCAAGCUAUGAAACAUACCACAAAUUCAUCAGCUGCAGAACGCCCCAAGGAAGCAGCCAGCUAAACUAGAUCUUAGUGGACACCAGUCAGCAUUCACUCAAGGAGAAUCAUGGGGAGACCCCUUCUUCCAGAAGCUAUGAAGACCUUUCUCCUUUUCUCUGACACCAUCUUCAGAGAAGACAGAGGUGUAGGGAGGAAUCUGAAUAAUAACUAAAAGAUAAUUUACCCCGCAGGACUAAGUUUUGAACCAGCCUACAAAUACAACACCUGUACUUUUUCUGCACAGCUCAGUGUAGUAUGAGUAGUCCUGUGACUCUGAUAUAUAUGAAGUCAUUCAAUAGAUAAAGCUAAGAAGACAAGAAAGUAUGGGGUGUAUAUGAUGUGGUUGUAGGAAGUGAAUGACUUUCAGACAAUGUUCAAAUUCUCUGAAGAACUUGUAGUCACAAAAUUCACUUUAAUGCAACAGCAUUGACCUUGAGCAAAAUUCUUCCUAAACAUCUAGCUCAAAACAGCAUUCACUGAGCACUUGUGCUAGCUACUGCAGACACUCUAUUAAAUAAAACUCGCUUGCAAGGCACUUACACAUCAGCACCAUCUUCCCUUCCAAUGCCAGAGUCUACCUAUGGAAAUCUGCUUUCAAGAAGCUUCCAGUGUUUGUCAUGUAUACCUUAGUGUAAAUUAAGUGAAUGUGUUAUCUCACCAUAAUUUGUGAUUUGUUUGUUUGUUGUAGUGGUUGUUGUUUACUGUCAUUUCCGACUAUAAAAGUAAAGCUUUGAUCUCUGCUGGA
Long non-coding RNA from Equus quagga, 1139 nucleotides. RefSeq lists it as uncharacterized. The transcript has 2 exons. Lineage: Eukaryota; Metazoa; Chordata; Mammalia; Perissodactyla; Equidae. The record is from RefSeq and is a predicted model, not a curated record.